RNAcentral lists this ribosomal RNA (631 nucleotides) under Phyllozyma linderae. RNAcentral's name for it is "eukaryotic LSU rRNA". It matches the Rfam family "Eukaryotic large subunit ribosomal RNA", at positions 47 to 663 of the family's 3401-position model. Lineage: Eukaryota; Fungi; Basidiomycota; Spiculogloeomycetes; Spiculogloeales; Spiculogloeaceae. The record is from RNAcentral.
UAAGCGGAGGAAAAGAAAACAAUAGUGAUGCCUCUAGUAACGGCGAGUGAAGCAGGCAAAGCCCAACUUUAAAAUCUGGCGCUUUCAGCGUCCGAGUUGUAGUCUCGAGAAGCAUGGCUCGUGUCGGUCCGCGUCAAACUGGUUCGGAUGCCAGGUCAUAGAGGGUGACAAUCCCGUUGGCAACGCGGCCUCCCGAUGCAUCAGCAGUCUGCUCUCCAAGAGUCGAGUUGUUUGGGAAUGCAGCUCUAAUUAGGUGGUAAAUUCCAUCCAAGGCUAAAUAUCGGCGGGAGACCGAUAGCGAACAAGUACCGUGAGGGAAAGAUGAAAAGCACUUUGGAAAGAGAAUGAAAGAGUAUGUGAAAUUGCUGGAAGGGAAACGCUUGAAGUCAGACACGCGCGGGGGUAUUCAGCUCGGUUCGCCGGGUGCAUUUGCCCUCAUUGCGCGCCAGCAUCGGUUCGUGGGGCCGCAGCAGCGAGGUGGCAAUGUGGCCGUCUCCGGGCGGUGUUACAGGCCGCCGUUGUGGUCGGACCCGUGGACCGAGGAUCGCAGCGCGCCGCAAGGCAGCCCUCGAGGGGGUAGAGCGCUUAGGAUGCUGGCGGAAUGGCUUUAAACGACCCGUCUUGAAACACG